Molecule: ribosomal RNA, 465 nt
Filed under: uncultured bacterium
Lineage: Bacteria
Description: partial 16S ribosomal RNA
Rfam family: Bacterial small subunit ribosomal RNA
Source: RNAcentral
CCUACGGGUGGCAGCAGUAGGGAAUCUUCCACAAUGGGCGAAAGCCUGAUGGAGCAACGCCGCGUGGGUGAAGACGGUCUUCGGAUCGUACAACUCUGUUGUUAGGGAAGAAAAUGCGUGAAGGUAACUGUUCACGUUUCGACGGUAUCUAACCAGAAAGCCACGGCUAACUACGUGCCAGCGGCCGCGGUAAUACGUAGGUGGCAAGCGUUAUCCGGAUUUCUUGGGCGUACAGGGACAGCAGGCGGGUGUUUAAGUCUGAUGUGAAAGCCUGGGGAUUAACCGCAGGAGUGCAUGGGAAACUGGGUAGCUAGAGUGCAGUAGAGGUAAGUGGAAUUCCUAGUGUAGCGGUGAAAUGCGUAGAUAUUAGGAGGAACACCAGUGGCGAAGGCGGCUUACUGGACGGUAACUGACGUUGAGGCUCGAAAGCGUGGGGAGCAAACAGGAUUAGAUACCCGAGUAGUC